GGGAUCGCCCUUAGAGUUUGAUCCUGGCUCAGGAUGCACGCUGGCGGGGUGCCUAAUCCAUGCAAGUCGACCGAAUGGAUUAAGAGCGUGCUCUUAUGAAGUUAGCGGCGGACGGGUGACUAACACGUGGGUAACCUGCCCAUAACACUGGGAUAACUCCGGGAAACCCGGGCUAAUACCGGAUAAUAUUUUGAACUGCAUGGUUCAAAAUUGAAAGGCGGCUUCGGCUGUCACUUAUGGAUGGACCCGCGUCGCAUUAGCUAGUUGGUGAGGUAACGGCUCACCAAGGCAACGAUGCGUAGCCGACCUGAGAGGGAGAUCGGCCACACUGGGACUGAGACACGGCCCAGACUCCUACGGGAGGCAGCAGUAGGGAAUCUUCCGCAAUGGACGAAAGUCUGACGGAGCAACGCCGCGUGAGUGAUGAAGGCGUUCGGGUCGUAAAACUCUGUUGUUAGGGAAGAACGAGUGCUAGUUGAAUAAGCUGGCACCUUGACGGUACCUAACCAGAAAGCCACGGCUAACUACGUGCCAGCAGCCGCGGUAAUACGUACGUGGCAAGCGUUAUCCGGAAUUAUUGGGCGUAAAGCGCGCGCAGGUGGUUUCUUAAGUCUGAUGUGAAAGCCGACGGCUCAACCGUGGAGGGUCAUUGGAAACUGGGAGACUUGAGUGCAGAAGAGGAAAGUGGAAUUCCAUGUGUAGCGGUGAAAUGCGUAGAGAUAUGGAGGAACACCAGUGGCGAACGCGACUUUCUGGUCUGUAACUGACACUGAGGCGCGAAAGCGUGGGGAGCAAACAGGAUUAGAUACCCUGGUAGUGCACGCCGUAAACGAUGAGUGCUAAGUGUUAGAGGGUUUCCGCCCUUUAGUGCUGAAGUUAACGCAUUAAGCACUCCGCCUGGGGAGUACGGCCGCAAGGCUGAAACUCAAAGGAAUUGACGGGGGCCCGCACGAGCGGUGGAGCAUGUGGUUUAACUCGAAGCAACGCGAAGAACCUUACCAGGUCUUGACAUCCUCUGAAAACCCUAGAGAUAGGGCUUCUCCUUCGGGAGCAGAGUGACAGGUGGUGCAUGGUUGUCGUCAGCUCGUGUCGUGAGAUGUUGGGUUAAGUCCCGCAACGAGCGCAACCCUUGAUCUUAGUUGCCAUCAUUAAGUUGGGCACUCUAAGGUGACUGCCGGUGACAAACCGGAGGAAGGUGGGGAUGACGUCAAAUCAUCAUGCCCCUUAUGACCUGGGCUACACACGUGCUACAAUGGACGGUACAAAGAGCUGCAAGACCGCGAGGUGGAGCUAAUCUCAUAAAACCGUUCUCAGUUCGGAUUGUAGGCUGCAACUCGCCUACAUGAAGCUGGAAUCGCUAGUAAUCGCGGAUGAGCAUGCCGCGGUGAAUACGUUCCCGGGCCUUCUACACACCGCCCGUCACACGACGAGAGUUUGUAACACCCGAAGUCGCUGGGGUAACCUUUUUGGAGCCAGGCGCCUAAGGUGGGACACAUGAUUGGGGUGAAGUCGUAACAAGGUAGCCGUAAAGGGCGAUCC
RNAcentral lists this ribosomal RNA (1539 nucleotides) under Bacillus cereus. Its description in RNAcentral is "bacterial SSU rRNA". It matches the Rfam family "Bacterial small subunit ribosomal RNA". The record is from RNAcentral. Lineage: Bacteria; Bacillati; Bacillota; Bacilli; Caryophanales; Bacillaceae.